RNAcentral lists this transfer RNA (76 nucleotides) under bacterium. RNAcentral's name for it is "tRNA-Thr". It matches the Rfam family "tRNA". Rfam says of the family: Transfer RNA (tRNA) molecules are approximately 80 nucleotides in length. Their secondary structure includes four short double-helical elements and three loops (D, anti-codon, and T loops). The record is from RNAcentral. RNAcentral also lists the same sequence under 2 other names.
GCCAGAAUAGCUCAGUUGGUAGAGCAACUGAUUUGUAAUCAGUCGGUCGUCGGUUCGAGUCCGACUUCUGGCUCCA